Long non-coding RNA from Oncorhynchus keta (chum salmon), 1396 nucleotides. RefSeq lists it as uncharacterized. NCBI's taxonomy places the organism in Eukaryota, Metazoa, Chordata, Actinopteri, Salmoniformes, Salmonidae. The record is from RefSeq and is a predicted model, not a curated record. The transcript has 4 exons.
ACAGGUGUUGUUGGAUCAGUCCACCAAGGCUAACUCUCCUCUCUUCCUCCCCCAGCCCUACAGGUGUUGUUAGAUCAGUUCCACCAAGGCUAACUCUCCUCUCUUCCUCCCCCAGCCCUACAGGUGUUGUUAGAUCAGUCCACCAAGGCUAACUCUCCUCUCUUCCUCCCCCAGCCCUACAGGUGUUGUUAGAUCAGUUCCACCAAGGCUAUAUCUCCUCUCUUCCUCCCCCAGCCCUACAGGUGUUGUUGGAUCAGUUCCACCAAGGCUAACUCUCCUCUCUUCCUCCCCCAGCCCUACAGGUGUUGUUUAGACCAGUCCACCAAGGCUAACUCUCCUCUCUUCCUCCCCCAGCCCUACAGGUGUUGUUUAGACCAGUCCACCAAGGCUAACUCUCCUCUCUUCCUCCCCCAGCCCUACAGGUGUUGUUGGAUCAGUCCACCAAGGCUAACUCUCCUCUCUUCCUCCCCCAGCCCUACAGGUGUUGUUGGAUCAGUCCACCAAGGCUAACUCUCCUCUCUUCCUCCCCCAGCCCUACAGGUGUUGUUGGAUCAGUCCACCAAGGCUAAAUCUCCUCUCUUCCUCCCCCAGCCCUACAGGUGUUGUUGGAUCAGUCCACCAAGGCUAACUCUCCUCUCUUCCUCCCCCAGCCCUACAGGUGUUGUUAGACCAGUCCACCAAGGCUAACUCUCCUCUCUUCCUCCCCCAGCCCUACAGGUGUUGUUAGACCAGUCCACCAAGGCUAACUCUCCUCUCUUCCUCCCCCAGCCCUACAGGUGUUGUUGGAUCAGUCCACCAAGGCUAACUCUCCUCUCUUCCUCCCCCAGCCCUACAGGUGUUGUUGGAUCAGUCCACCAAGGCUAACUCUCCUCUCUUCCUCCCCCAGCCCUACAGGUGUUGUUGGAUCAGUCCACCAAGGCUAACUCUCCUCUCUUCCUCCCCCAGCCCUACAGGUGUUGUUAGACCAGUCCACCAAGGCUAACUCUCCUCUCUUCCUCCCCCAGCCCUACAGGUGUUGUUGGAUCAGUCCACCAAGGCUAACUCUCCUCUCUUCCUCCCCCAGCCCUACAGGUGUUGUUGGAUCAGUCCACCAAGGCUAACUCUCCUCUCUUCCUCCCCCAGCCCUACAGGUGUUGUUGGAUCAGUCCACCAAGGCUAACUCUCCUCUCUUCCUCCCCCAGCCCUACAGGUGUUGUUGGAUCAGUCCACCAAGGCUAACUCUCCUCUCUUCCUCCCCCAGCCCUACAGGUGUUGUUGGAUCAGUCCACCAAGGCUAACUCUCCUCUCUUCCUCCCCCAGCCCUACAGGUGUUGUUGGAUCAGUCCACCAAGGCUAACUCUCCUCUCUUCCUCCCCCAGCCCUACAGGUGUUGUUAGAUCAGUUCCACCAAGGCUAA